RNAcentral lists this long non-coding RNA (2520 nucleotides) under Homo sapiens (human). RNAcentral's name for it is "LHRI_LNC676.1". Lineage: Eukaryota; Metazoa; Chordata; Mammalia; Primates; Hominidae. The record is from RNAcentral.
UUUCUUUCUUUCCUUCCUUCCUUCCUCCCUUCCUUCCUUCCUUCCUAACUUCCUUCCUUCCUUUUUCUUUCUCUCUCUUUUCUUUUCUUUCUUUCUUUUUUUUUGACAGAGUCUUGCUCUAUCGCCCAGGCUGGAGUGCAGUGGCGUGAUCUCGGCUUAUUGUAACCUCCACCUCCCAGGUUCAAGCAAUUCUCGUGCCUCAGCCUCCUGAGUACCUGGGACUAGGGGUACGCACCACCACGCCCAGCUAAUUUUUGUAUUUUUAGUAGAGAUGGGGUUUCACCAUGAUGGCCAGGCUGAUUUCGAACUCCUGGCCUUAAGUGAGCCUCCUGCCUCGUUCUCCCAAAGUGCUGGGAUUACAGGCGUGAGCCACCAUGCCCAGCCGGCAUUUUCAUCUGGACUCUGCCAUGGGGCUCAGCAAAUCAGAUGUGACCUGGUGACAGGUGCCAAGAAGGUCUGGCGACCACAGGUUUCUUGUCGGUUUCUGCCUGGGACCCCUGCACCUCCCUACCAGUAUUCCCAACCCAACGAAAGACCGGCCAAGUACAAACCAAGGGCAGCCCUGAAGCCCAGGACCAUGAGGCCUGGAAGGCCCCAGGACAGGUGAUUUGUGGCCCUGGUGUCUCAGGUCAGGAGCAGGGCAGAGCCACCUUCCUCCCUCCCUGUGCGGGGCUGCAUGAGCUCAGGGACCUUUGGACCUGAGAAAGGUCAGGCUCACUUCCUCCCCGUGCCUGCGGUUGGCCGCAGGGGGAAUAUUCUCCUGACCCGAGUCCUGAAGCCCUGGGCGUGGAGUUUCCCUGGACUGGGAGAAAGUAAACACCGAGGGACUUGCCAAGAGGAAAUGGAGAAGCCCAGGUGUUCUGGGCGGAGCUGAGUGUCCCGCAGGGGGUUCCGCAGCUCCUCGCCUCUGGAAGACCAAGGACAGCUUUCCCCAGGGCUACAGCCUCACGCUCCCCUCCCAUCGUGGCUGGGCCUUUACUUGGGGGUGAGUGUCCUACAGACGAGGGGCUUAAAGCUACAGGAAUGCCUCGUCUCGCAGAGCUGGAGGCUGGAAGGCAGAUCGGCCUGUGAGGGCCGCGGUCACUCUUGGUCCUGAGCCCUCCUUGUCCGGCUGCUGGUGUCACGGGCACUCCUUGGGGUUCCUUGGCUUGUGGGAGCAUCGCGCCGGCCCCGCCUCUGUCAUCAGGCCGCCUCCCCUUCUCUUCUCGAAGGACACCUGCUACGGCGAGGGCCUCUCCAGGAUGACCUCAUCUCGUUCUCCACUAAUCACAGCUGCAAAGAUUUAUUUCCAAAUAAAGUCGCCUUCUUGGGUUCCAGGGGACCUGAUUUUGGGAGGCGCUGUUCCCCCAGCACAGGGAUACAGCAGGCCCUUGGCCUCAUCGGACAUCUGGUGCCCGCGCGCCCUCUCACUCACGUUGUCCAGGCCUCUGCCCUUCUCAACACCCGGACGUGGGCGUUCAGGUGUCCUUCCUGCCCUGGCGUAUGCCCCACUUAGCUGAGUGGGGGGCUUAGACCUCCGCCCCAUCUGCAGUCCUCCUGGGGCCUGCCAAUCAGACCCCCUGCAGCUGCAUGGUCUUGGGGCAUUGCUGUAAGGCCCUGGGGCCUUUCUGAAUCCAUCUGCAAGCUGGAGCUGAGUCCAGGAGCUGAGGCCGGGAGCAGGAGGUGAGGUUGCUAGCUGAGGCUGGGAGCAAGAGCUGAGGCCACUGGAGCUGAGGCUGGGAGCUGAGAUGUGGAGCUGGGGCUGAGGCUGGGAGGAGGGGUUGAGGAUACCUGGAGUUUGGGAGCUGGGCUGAGAGGCCAGGGAGGAGAGCCCUGCCACCACCCUGCUGCCCCCCCUCGCCACCCCCCUGCUGCCACCUUGCUGCCACCCUGCCUCCUGUUCCCAGCCCUCUGGCCAGUCCCUGUGUUCGUUUUCUGUUUUCUACUUACCAGAAACUUAGCAGCUUGAAACAGCACCCGCUCGGCACACAUUCCUGUUGGGAGUGUGAAAUGGUGCAGCUGCUGUGGGAAAUGGUCUGGUGAUUCCUCGCAAAGCUAAACAAUUGCCAUAGCACCCUGCAGUUCCACACCUGGGGAUGCACAGCCAGAAAUGAAGACGGGUGUCUGAGCAAAAACUCGGACAUGAGUGUUCACAGCAGCGUUAUUCACAGUAGCUAGAAGGUGGAAACAACCCAAGUGUCCGUGGACCGAGGAACAGAUCAACAGGCCACGGCGCACGCACGACGGAGUAUUGUGCAGCCAGAAAAAGGGUGAAGCUCCCUUACACAUUAUGGCGUGGGUGAGCCUCAGAAACAUGGUGCUAAGUGACUGCGUUUAUAUAAAAAGCUUGCACUGAUGUAAAGUGUCUAGAGUAGAGAAACCCAGGAGAUGAAGUGGAUUCGUGGCUUCCAGGGCCUGAGGGCAGAGGGAAGGGACCGGCUGCUGAUGGGUCUCCGUUUGGGAAGAUGAACGAGUUCUGGAGCUUGCUUGAGGCAGUGUCUGCACAACAGUGUGAGUGCACGGAAUGUGGCUGAAUUGGAC